AGAGAGUCAGCACAGAGCUGGAUGUCAGUUAAAGUAACUGUGUCAGGAGCUGACAGCUCUUCAUCUCCUGUGUGGUUGAUUGUUGGACUGGUUUGUGGAGUCUCUCUCAUUAUUAUUCUCCUGCUCUUGUUGUAUCGCUGCAGACAGUCCAAGUAUUCCUGCUUCACCAGGU
This is a long non-coding RNA of Oreochromis niloticus (Nile tilapia), 172 nucleotides long. RefSeq lists it as uncharacterized. The transcript has 3 exons. NCBI's taxonomy places the organism in Eukaryota, Metazoa, Chordata, Actinopteri, Cichliformes, Cichlidae. The record is from RefSeq and is a predicted model, not a curated record.